GCCGCGCCCUGGCGGACGCCGUCGCCGCCGAGGCCGGCGCACUGGACGGGGUCGCCGGCUGCCGGGUCGUCCUGCGCGGCCGGCGCGGCUC
Molecule: transfer RNA, 91 nt
Filed under: Streptomyces virginiae
Lineage: Bacteria; Bacillati; Actinomycetota; Actinomycetes; Kitasatosporales; Streptomycetaceae
Also listed under: 1 other name
Description: tRNA-Leu
Source: RNAcentral